GCCAGCAGCCGCGGUAAUUCCAGCUCCAAUAGCGUAUAUUAAAGUUGUUGUGGUUAAAAAGCUCGUAGUUGAACCUUGGGCCUGGCUGGCCGGUCCGCCUCACCGCGUGCACUGGUCCGGCCGGGCCUUUCCCUCUGCGGAACCCCAUGCCCUUCACUGGGUGUGGCGGGGAAACAGGACUUUUACUUUGAAAAAAUUAGAGUGCUCAAGGCAGGCCUAUGCUCGAAUACAUUAGCAUGGAAUAAUAGAAUAGGACGUGUGGUUCUAUUUUGUUGGUUUCUAGGACCGCCGUAAUGAUUAAUAGGGACAGUCGGGGGCAUCAGUAUUCAAUUGUCAGAGGUGAAAUUCUUGGAUUUAUUGAAGACUAACUACUGCGAAAGCAUUUGCCAAGGAUGUUUUCAUUAAUCAGGAACGAAAGUUAGGGGAUCGAAGACGAUCAGAUACCGUCGUAGUCUUAACCAUAAACUAUGCCGACUAGGGAUCGGACGAUGUUACAUUUUUGACGCGUUCGGCACCUUACGAGAAAUCAAAGUGCUUGGGCUCC
Molecule: ribosomal RNA, 544 nt
Filed under: Gloeosporium sp. OR-10
Lineage: Eukaryota; Fungi; Ascomycota
Description: SSU rRNA
Rfam family: Eukaryotic small subunit ribosomal RNA
Source: RNAcentral